AUUGAACGCUGGCGGCAGGCCUAACACAUGCAAGUCGAGCGAGUGGCGGACGGGUGAGUAAUGUCUGGGAAACCGCCUGAUGGAGGGGGAUAACUACUGGAAACGGUAGCUAAUACCGCAUACCAUCGGAUGUGCCCAUAUGGGAUUAGCUAGUAGGUGGGGUAAAGGCUCACCUAGGCGACGAUCCCUAGCUGGUAUGAGAGGAUGACCGGCCACUCUGGAACUGAGACACGGUCCAGACUCCUACGGGAGGCAGCAGUGGGGAAUAUUGCACAAUGGGCGCAAGCCUGAUGCAGCGAUGCCGCGUGUAUGAAGAAGGCCUUCGGGUUGUAAAGCACUGUCAGCGGGGGGGCGUUACCCGCAGAAGAAGCACCGGCUAACUCCGUGCCAGCAGCCGCGGUAAUAC
Molecule: ribosomal RNA, 406 nt
Filed under: uncultured bacterium
Lineage: Bacteria
Description: partial 16S ribosomal RNA
Rfam family: Bacterial small subunit ribosomal RNA
Source: RNAcentral